UGCUCAGGACGAACGCUGGCGGCGUGCUUAACACAUGCAAGUCGAACGAUGAAGCCAGCUUGCUGGUGGAUUAGUGGCGAACGGGUGAGUAACACGUGGGUGAUCUGCCCUGUACUUUGGGAUAAGCCUGGGAAACUGGGUCUAAUACCGAAUAUGACCACUUAACGCAUGUUUUGUGGUGGAAAGCUCCGGCGGUAUGGGAUGGGCCCGCGGCCUAUCAGCUUGUUGGUGGGGUAAUGGCCUACCAAGGCGACGACGGGUAGCCGGCCUGAGAGGGCGACCGGCCACACUGGGACUGAGACACGGCCCAGACUCCUACGGGAGGCAGCAGUGGGGAAUAUUGCACAAUGGGCGCAAGCCUGAUGCAGCGACGCCGCGUGAGGGAUGACGGCCUUCGGGUUGUAAACCUCUUUCACCAGGGACGAAGCGUGAGGACG
This 437-nucleotide ribosomal RNA is filed under the name Williamsia muralis. RNAcentral describes it as "bacterial SSU rRNA". It matches the Rfam family "Bacterial small subunit ribosomal RNA", at positions 21 to 460 of the family's 1533-position model. The record is from RNAcentral. Lineage: Bacteria; Bacillati; Actinomycetota; Actinomycetes; Mycobacteriales; Nocardiaceae.